GAGUUUGAUCCUGGCUCAGGAUGAACGCUAGCUACAGGCUUAACACAUGCAAGUCGAGGGGCAGCAUGAAGGCAGCAAUGUCUUCGAUGGCGACCGGCGCACGGGUGAGUAACGCGUAUCCGACCUGCCGCAGACACGGGGACAGCCUUGCGAAAGCAGGGAUAACCCCCGAUGAUCUCGUUCCAACGCAUUAGGGAGUGAGCAAAGGAUUAAUCGGUCUGCGAUGGGGAUGCGUUCCAUUAGAUAGUCGGCGGGGUAACGGCCCACCGAGUCGACGAUGGAUAGGGGUUCUGAGAGGAAGGUCCCCCACAUUGGAACUGAGACACGGUCCAAACUCCUACGGGAGGCAGCAGUGAGGAAUAUUGGUCAAUGGGCGAGAGCCUGAACCAGCCAAGUAGCGUGAGGGAUGACUGCCCUAUGGGUUGUAAACCUCUUUUGCAGGGGGGUAAAGUGGUUCACGUGUGGACCAUUGCAAGUACCCUGCGAAUAAGGAUCGGCUAACUCCGUGCCAGCAGCCGCGGUAAUACGGAGGAUCCGAGCGUUAUCCGGAUUUAUUGGGUUUAAAGGGAGCGUAGGCGGGGGUUUAAGUCAGCUGUGAAAUGCCGUGGCCCAACCAUGGAACUGCAGUUGAAACUGGACCUCUUGAGAGUACAUAAGGAAGGCGGAAUUCGUGGUGUAGCGGUGAAAUGCAUAGAUAUCACGAAGAACUCCGAUUGCGAAGGCAGCUUUCCGGGGUACAUCUGACGCUGAAGCUCGAAAGUGCGGGAAUCAAACAGGAUUAGAUACCCUGGUAGUCCGCACCGUAAACGAUGGACACUCGCUUUUGGCGAUAGACAGUCAGGAGCCAAGUGAAAACGUUAAGUGUCCCACCUGGGGAGUACGCCGGCAACGGUGAAACUCAAAGGAAUUGACGGGGGCCCGCACAAGCGGAGGAACAUGUGGUUUAAUUCGAUGAUACGCGAGGAACCUUACCCGGGCUUGAACUGCAGAGGAAGCAUGCGGAAACGUAUGCGCCCGCAAGGGUCUCUGCGGAGGUGCUGCAUGGUUGUCGUCAGCUCGUGCCGUGAGGUGUCGGCUCAAGUGCCAUAACGAGCGCAACCCUUGCCUUCAGUUACUAACGGACAAUGCCGAGGACUCUGAAGGGACUGCCAUCGCAAGAUGUGAGGAAGGUGGGGAUGACGUCAAAUCAGCACGGCCCUUACGUCCGGGGCUACACACGUGUUACAAUGGGGGGUACAGGAGGAAGCUGCAGCGCGAGUUGUGGCGGAUCGUCAAAGCCCCUCUCAGCUCGGACUGGAGUCUGCAACCCGACUCCACGAAGCUGGAUUCGCUAGUAAUCGCGCAUCAGCCAUGGCGCGGUGAAUACGUUCCCGGGCCUUGUACACACCGCCCGUCAAGCCAUGAAAGCCGCGGGUACCUGAAGUGCGUAACCGCAAGGAGCGCCCUAGGGUAAAAGCGGUAAUUGGGGCUAAGUCGUAACAAGGUAGC
Molecule: ribosomal RNA, 1488 nt
Filed under: uncultured bacterium
Lineage: Bacteria
Description: bacterial SSU rRNA
Rfam family: Bacterial small subunit ribosomal RNA
Source: RNAcentral